Molecule: unclassified non-coding RNA, 376 nt
Filed under: Hevea brasiliensis (rubber tree)
Lineage: Eukaryota; Viridiplantae; Streptophyta; Magnoliopsida; Malpighiales; Euphorbiaceae
Source: RNAcentral
AGGGAAACCCAUCCAACAUUGAAGAAGACUACCUUGUUCAGCGAUCCGUCACUUGAUCCUCUCCAGGGCACCUAACAUAUUUUUUUUGAACCUACAUUUUCAGGUAUUUGAUCUUAUUGGAAUCGAUAAGAUUUUCCCUCAAUGCAUGGGAUAUGUAUACCCUAAUCGAUUUAUCUACUAUCAAAGUCAAGGGUUGAAGUCCCUACUCUAUUUUUCUCACUCAGAGCCAAGGGUUUGAAGUCCCUACUCUAUUUCUUCCAUUUUUCUCCUCUAUUUCACAAGAAAAGAAACAAACUCAAGGAAAAAAAAAAAUUUAAAUAAACGAAAAGACGGAUUUUUUUAAAAAGAGAGAUAACUCAACUUAACUUAACUCAAC